GAUGAACGCUGGCGGCGUGCCUAAUACAUGCAAGUCGAGCGAACAGAUAAGGAGCUUGCUCCUUUGACGUUAGCGGCGGACGGGUGAGUAACACGUGGAUAACCUACCUAUAAGACUGGGAUAACUUCGGGAAACCGGAGCUAAUACCGGAUAACAUAUUGAACCGCAUGGUUCAAUAGUGAAAGGCGGCUUUGCUGUCACUUAUAGAUGGAUCCGCGCCGUAUUAGCUAGUUGGUAAGGUAACGGCUUACCAAGGCAACGAUACGUAGCCGACCUGAGAGGGUGAUCGGCCACACUGGAACUGAGACACGGUCCAGACUCCUACGGGAGGCAGCAGUAGGGAAGCUUCCGCAAUGGGCGAAAGCCUGACGAAGCAACGCCGCGUGAGUGAUGAAGGUCUUCGGAUCGUAAAACUCUGUUAUCAGGGAAGAACAAAUGUGUAAGUAACUGUGCACAUCUUGACGGUACCUGAUCAGAAAGCCACGGCUAACUACGUG
This 497-nucleotide ribosomal RNA is filed under the name uncultured bacterium. RNAcentral describes it as "partial 16S ribosomal RNA". It matches the Rfam family "Bacterial small subunit ribosomal RNA", at positions 28 to 507 of the family's 1533-position model. The record is from RNAcentral.